GGAGCCCGCACUGCCCGAAUGUGGUGGUGGGGUGCUCGAUGGCGGAGACACUGGCGAGUUUUUUCCUGGCAACGGCCGGGUUCUUCCUAGUACAGCUGCCUUUGGGUGGUGGGAACGGAGUCCUGGUGCGGCUGGGGAGAGGCGGAUAGCACCCUGUUGGGUCCUGAAGGAACAACCGGUGGUUGUUUUUUCGGAGCCAUUGCCUUGCCUGUGGGUGAGGCUGGUUGCCAGGCAUGGCCUGGUGUGGCAUACCGCCGGCGGUGGUCGGGUUUGGUGUCGCACGGAUCGGGUUGUGGGUUGGU
This 302-nucleotide unclassified non-coding RNA is filed under the name Micromonospora sp. RNAcentral describes it as "partial 16S-23S ribosomal RNA intergenic spacer". The record is from RNAcentral. Lineage: Bacteria; Bacillati; Actinomycetota; Actinomycetes; Micromonosporales; Micromonosporaceae.